Molecule: long non-coding RNA, 955 nt
Filed under: Salmo salar (Atlantic salmon)
Lineage: Eukaryota; Metazoa; Chordata; Actinopteri; Salmoniformes; Salmonidae
Description: lncRNA (ENSSSAG00000083951.1)
Source: RNAcentral
CAGCUAGUUAUCAUCAGCUAGUUAUCAUCAGCUAGUUAUCAGCAGCUAGUUAUCAGCUAGUUAGCAGCUAGUUAGCAGCUAGUUAGCAGCUAGUUAUCAUCAGCUAGUUAUCAGCUAGUUAUCAGCUAGUGUUAUUGUAAAGCAAAGCUGCAAUCGGCAGUUUCAGGUAAAAAGAUGGAUAAAUAUAACCAUUCAGCAGAGUUAUGGGAUGCCAGGACUGACCAUCCAUGAUAUCAAAAUGAUUGUUUUAACCAUGUUAUGAAGCUAUACGUUUUUUUUGGUAUUUUACAUUUAUUAUAAACUUAAACGGACGACAGGGAAAAGCUCAAACCAAGUCUAUUCACCCUCUGGUUCAUUCAGCUGCAAAGACAAAGCAUGAUUACAUAACAUGCCAUUUAUAACCUCCUACUAGGAGGGUCAACUCCCAACACAGCCACUGCAUCUCUGUUGCUAGGAGGAACUGAAUGGUUCCUCUCACUGGUGUCGUGAGCCGCAGGUAGACUAGUGGUUAGAGUGUAGAGGAGGCAGGUAGUCUAGUGGUUAGAGUGGAGGGGCGGCAGGUAGACUAGUGGUUAGAGUGUAGAGGAGGCAGGUAGACUAGUAGUUAGAGUGGAGGGGCGGCAGGUAGACUAGUGGUUAGAGUGUAGAGGAGGCAGGUAGACUAGUAGUUAGAGUGUAGAGGCGGCAGGUAGUCUAGUGGUUAGAGUGUAGGGGCCGCAGGUAGCCUAGUGGUUAGGGUGUAGGGGCGGCAGGUAGCCUAGUGGUUAGAGUGGAGGAGAGGCAGGUAGCCUAGUGGUUAGAGUGGAGGGGCCGCAGGUAGGCUAUUGGUUAGAGCGGAGGGGCUGCAGGUAGCCUAGUGGUUAGAGUGUAGAGGAGGCAGGUAGACUAGUGGUUAGAGUGGAGGGGCCGCAGGUAGUCUAGUGGUUAGAGUGGAGGGGGGGCAGGUAGACUAGUG